AUGUCUGGCACCGGCGCCUCCACCACCUCCUCCCUCACCUCCCCCUCCCUACCCGCCUCCCACUCCACCACCACCGGCGCCCUCAUCAACUCCACCAUGCCCGCCUCCGCCUCGCCGGCUGUGCAAGUCGCCAGUGUGCGCACCCACGUGCCCGUCACGCUGGAUCUCAACACCUCCAACUUCGCCAAGUGGCGGAUGCUCAUCCGCGUCCUCCUCGGCAAGUACGACUUGCUGUCCCACAUCACCACCGUCACACCCGCGGCGGACCGCACGCCGGACUGGACCCGCGAGGACUACGUCGUCCGGUCCUGGCUGUACAGGUCUAUCUCCGACGAGAUCCUUGAUCUGAUCAUGGCGGAAGAUCAGACAGCGCAUGAGGCUUGGAAUCUCAUCUCCAACUUGUUUCUGGAUAACCGGAUGACGUGCGCGGUCUACCUCGAGGCCGAGUUCCGCGGCCUCGUCCAAGGCGAUCUCUCGGUCACCGCGUACUGCCAUCGCCUGAAGGCCCUCUCCGACGCCCUCGCCGACGUCGGCACCCCGGUCACAGACCAAACCCUCGUCCUCAAGUGCCUUCGCGGGCUCAACCCGCGGUUCGCCGACAUCACCACGAUCGUGACCAUGCAGAACCCGCUUCCGACGUUCGGGCAGAUGCGCUCUCUGCUGGUUCUUCGCGAGACUCAGCUCGCCAACACCUCCGCCGUGGCCAACCAGACCGCCCUGUACGGCGGCCACUCUUCCCAGGGCUCCGGUCCCAGCAGCGCCAACUCCAACCGCGGCGACGGAAACCGUGGUGGCGGCAACUCCGGUGGUGGCGGGAACUCCGGUGGUGGCGGCAACUGCAACGGCGGAAACUGGCGCAAGAAGCGACAAGGCGGCGGCUCCGGCGGCUCCCGCGUCGGUGCAGGCGGUCAACCUGCGAUCCGGGCUAGGCGCAAAGCCCGAACCAACGAGGGGCUACCUCCGGAUGAUGUAGAUCUAGAGGAGGAGGAGGAUGUGGGGGACGCUGGCGUCACGGAUCUGCAGGCGGAGCUGCAGGGCAUCCUCGAUUCCCUCCGCUCGGAGUUGGCUGCGGAGGCCAGACGCCAUCUCCGGCAGGAGAAUGAGGCGCAGCCGUCCGCGAAGGAGGCAGAGAUGCUCAUACAUGGAUGA
This 1149-nucleotide ribosomal RNA is filed under the name Triticum aestivum (bread wheat). RNAcentral describes it as "partial small subunit ribosomal RNA". Lineage: Eukaryota; Viridiplantae; Streptophyta; Magnoliopsida; Poales; Poaceae. The record is from RNAcentral.